CCUGCCUCAGCCUCCCAAAGUGCUGGGAUUACAGGUGUGAACCACAGUGCCCAGCCACUCCUAUUGUUUGGUUCUUUGUACUUUGUGGUUCCAGCAAACUAAUACAGUGAUAUUAAAAAUUUUCUCUACUAUUAGAAAUACAAUUUUAGGUGGGGGAAAUAUCACCUUCACCAAAUGCAGCGCAUUUGUGUGUUUUAACAUUCAGAGAAUUCUACCUUUUUGGGCACUUGAGGUGACCUGCCAAUUAACUAAAGUCUUAAAGUAAACUUUUUUUUCCUUUGUAAAUAUGUCUAAAUAUACUACCCAUUGGAAAUUUAAAAGUAGAGUACUUUUCUGAGUACAGUACUACUUUUAUCUUACACAGUAUUUCACAGCUGUGAUCUCUGGAGCAUAAGCCAACAGCAGGAAAAAAUAGUUUGUAUGAGUUUCAUGAAAUAUGUCUUUGGGUUUUCGUAAAUAAUUUUAACUCAAACAAAAUUGCUUCUUGCCAUAAAAAA
Molecule: long non-coding RNA, 497 nt
Organism: Cebus imitator (Panamanian white-faced capuchin)
Lineage: Eukaryota; Metazoa; Chordata; Mammalia; Primates; Cebidae
Exons: 2
Source: RefSeq, a predicted model, not a curated record